This 1104-nucleotide ribosomal RNA is filed under the name Triticum aestivum (bread wheat). Its description in RNAcentral is "partial small subunit ribosomal RNA". The record is from RNAcentral. Lineage: Eukaryota; Viridiplantae; Streptophyta; Magnoliopsida; Poales; Poaceae.
AUGUGGACGUCCUCGGCGGCGAAUCACUUGUGCCCUCCGGCUGUAGCGGCUGCCUCCGCCACCGUCCCCGACCAGGCAUCUCCAUGGCCAUGGGCGUCCCUCCACGCGGAUCUGGUUCGCCUGGUCGGCUGGCGAGUGCUGGCGGAAGAUCUGCUCGACUAUGUCCGCUUCCGCGCAGUCUGCACACACUGGCGUUUCAGCACCGUCUGUCCCCGUGGCCGUGGCAUCGUGGAUCCGCGUUUUCACCCAGGCCGAUGGAUGGUGCUGCCCGAGGGACAUGGAUUACACCCCGACGACAAGGCCAAGAGACGCCUAUUCAGCCUCUCCACCGGAGUAUCCGUUUGCCCUCGACUUCCUGAGGAUUAUUGCAUCCUCGACUCGGUCAACGGCAUCCUCCUACUGCAGCGGCGGCAGCAACAACACGAUCAAGGUAGCAUUCGUCUUUUCAACCCCUUCACCGGCGACAUUGGGGAGCUCCCGCCGCUCGGGUCCGUCGUGUCAGACUCGAAACUCCACUUGAGUUUCGAUGAGAUAUCUAGUCAUGUGGUACCUGGCGGCGUGGUCACCUCCUUGAUCGUGAGCUCAGAUGGCGCCGCCGCAGUCAUGAUUUGGCUUGUAGAAUUAUCACGCGUCAUCUUUGCUACCACCAAGGACAGGCAAUGGAGUCAGUCAACUCGAAUGUUCAUUAGGACCAGGAGGCCGAUAUCAUUCCAAGGAAAAUUAUACAUCUUAUGUUAUGACCUACCUAGCCAUGCACUACAAGUUCUCCAAAUGGGCCCACCUGUGUAUGAGCAUGGGACAACCUUGGGGUUAGGUUCAUCUUUCUUGCCGACAUCAAAGUUGAUUGCCACAUGUCCAACGAUAAAAAUGUCCGACGGUAUUGGCCUAGCAGAAUGUGACUCCGAGAUUUUGGUCAUAGCCUACAAAGAUUCUACACACACGCAUAUGGUGGUUUAUAGAGUACCUGAUCUUAUGCUCGGCAAGGUUAUCCCGGUGACAGACAUCGGAAGCAAAUCUGUCUUCUUUGAUACCAAAACAAUAAGUCUUGGACCUGACCAAGAACUAGCCCUUGCAGUAGUUUUCUCUAUUUCUGAAUGCGCAUGA